UAAACAAAUAUGUUUUGUUUAGUCCCUAUCUACGAUCUAGCGAAACCACAGCCAAGGGAACGGGCUUGGAAUAAUUAGCGGGGAAAGAAGACCCUUUUGAGCUUGACUCUAAUCUGGCAGUGUAAGGAGACAUAAGAGGUGUAGAAUAAGUGGGAUAAGGAGAUAUUAGACUUCGGUUUGGUAUCGACAAUGAAAUACCACUACUCUUAUUGUUUCCUUACUUACUUGAUUAAAUGGAACGUGUAUCAUUUCCUAGCCAUUAUACGGAUAUAAUUAUUAUGUCUUAUGGUAUUGGGUUUUGAUGCAAGCUUCUUGAUCAAAGUAUCACGAGUUUGUUAUAUAAUCGCAAACAAAUUCUUUAAUGAGAGAAUGCAUUUAUGUAUUAUUGAUUUAAAAAUUAGGUAUAACUCCAAUUACUCAGGUAUGAUCCAAUUCAAGGACAUUGCCAGGUAGGGAAUUUGACUGGGGCAGUACAUCUCUCAAAUAAUAACGGAGGUGUCCCAAGGCCAGCUCAGUGCGGACAGAAACCACACAUAGAGCAAAAAGGCAAAUGCUGACUUGAUCUCGGUGUUCAGUACACACAGGGACAGCAAAAGCUCGGCCUAUCUAUCCUUUUGGUUUAAAGAGUUUUUAACAAGAGGUGUCAGAAAAGUUACCAUAGGGAUAACUGGCUUGUGGCGGCCAAGCGUUCAUAGCGACGUCGCUUUUUGAUCCUUCGAUGUCGGCUCUUCCCAUAAUUGUGAGACAAACUUCACCAAGCGUUGGAUUGUUCACCCAUGCAAGGGAACGUGAGCUGGGUUUAGACCGUCGUGAGACAGGUUAGUUUUACCCUACUAAUGACAAAACGUUGUUGCGACAGCAUUCCUUCCAAUGGCACAAUACUUGUUCGAGCGAACAGUGGUAUGACGCUACGUCCGUGCUGGACUGCAAUGAAAAAUAAGGGGCAAUUUGCAUUGUAUGGCUUCUAAGCCAUAAAAAGUUUUUAAUUUGUUUUAUUAACGACAAUGGAUGUGAUGCCAAUGUUAUUUAUAACAUAGUAAAUUGGGAGGAUCUUCGAUCACCUGAUGCCGCGCUAGUUAUGUUUUAAAACAUUAUUUAAUACAAAGUUAAUGCCUAGAAUCAAUAGUAAACAACUUUUGUAACAGGCAAGGUGUUGGAAGUAGUUGAGCAGCUGCCAUACUGCGAUCCACUGAAGCUUAUCCUUUGCUUGAUGAUUC
This 1217-nucleotide non-coding RNA is filed under the name Drosophila virilis. RNAcentral's name for it is "Eukaryotic large subunit ribosomal RNA". It matches the Rfam family "Eukaryotic large subunit ribosomal RNA", at positions 2320 to 3399 of the family's 3401-position model. The record is from Rfam by way of RNAcentral. Lineage: Eukaryota; Metazoa; Arthropoda; Insecta; Diptera; Drosophilidae.